RNAcentral lists this transfer RNA (76 nucleotides) under Deltaproteobacteria bacterium. RNAcentral's name for it is "tRNA-Phe". It matches the Rfam family "tRNA". From Rfam's summary of the family: Transfer RNA (tRNA) molecules are approximately 80 nucleotides in length. Their secondary structure includes four short double-helical elements and three loops (D, anti-codon, and T loops). Further hydrogen bonds mediate the characteristic L-shaped molecular structure. tRNAs have two regions of fundamental functional importance: the anti-codon, which is responsible for specific mRNA codon recognition, and the 3' end, to which the tRNAs corresponding amino acid is attached (by aminoacyl-tRNA synthetases). tRNAs cope with the degeneracy of the genetic code in two manners: having more than one tRNA (with a specific anti-codon) for a particular amino acid; and 'wobble' base-pairing, i.e. permitting non-standard base-pairing at the 3rd anti-codon position. The record is from RNAcentral. Lineage: Bacteria; Pseudomonadati; Myxococcota; Myxococcia.
GGCCAGGUAGCUCAGUUGGUAGAGCAGCGGACUGAAAAUCCGCGUGUCGGCGGUUCGAAUCCGUCCCUGGCCACCU